UACGAAGGCCCCAAGCGUUAUCCGGAUUUAUUGGGCGUAAAGAGCGCGUAGGGGGUCCGAUGCGUCCUGUUUUAAAUCUUUGGGCUUAACCCAAAGGCUGGGCAGGAUACGAUCGGACUUGAGGAUGUGAGAGGUAAGCGGAACACAUGGUGUAGGGGUGAAAUCCGUUGAUAUCAUGUGGAACACCGAAGGCGAAGGCAGCUUACUGGCACAUUCCUGACCCUCAGUGCGCGAAAGCGUGGGGAGCAAAAAGG
Molecule: ribosomal RNA, 254 nt
Filed under: uncultured bacterium
Lineage: Bacteria
Description: partial 16S ribosomal RNA
Rfam family: Bacterial small subunit ribosomal RNA
Source: RNAcentral